This 420-nucleotide ribosomal RNA is filed under the name bacterium. RNAcentral's name for it is "partial 16S ribosomal RNA". It matches the Rfam family "Bacterial small subunit ribosomal RNA", at positions 355 to 776 of the family's 1533-position model. The record is from RNAcentral.
UGGGGGAUAUUGCACAAUGGGCGAAAGCCUGAUGCAGCGACGCCGCGUGGGGGAUGAAGGCUUUCGGGUUGUAAACCUCUUUCGCUAUCGAACAAGGCCCGCUUAGGGUGGGUUGAGGGUAGGUGGAGAAGAAGCGCCGGCUAACUACGUGCCAGCAGCCGCGGUAAUACGUAGGGCGCGAGCGUUGUCCGGAAUUAUUGGGCGUAAAGGGCUUGUUGGCGGCUUGUUGCGCCUGCUGUGAAAACGCGGGGCUUAACUUCGCGCGUGCAGUGGGUACGGGCAGGCUUGAGGGUGGUAGGGGUGACUGGAAUUCCAGGUGUAGCGGUGGAAUGCGCAGAUAUCUGGAGGAACACCGAUGGCGAAGGCAGGUCACUGGGCCAUUACUGACGCUGAGGAGCGAAAGCAUGGGUAGCGAACAGG